Molecule: ribosomal RNA, 239 nt
Filed under: uncultured bacterium
Lineage: Bacteria
Description: partial 16S ribosomal RNA
Rfam family: Bacterial small subunit ribosomal RNA
Source: RNAcentral
CGUGAGGAAACCUGCCUUCCAGAGGGGGACAACAGUUGGAAACGACUGCUAAUACCGCAUGAUGCGUUGGAGCCGCAUGACUCUGACGCCAAAGAUUUAUCGCUGGAAGAUGGCCUCGCGUCUGAUUAGCUAGUUGGUGAGGUAACGGCCCACCAAGGCGACGAUCAGUAGCCGGACUGAGAGGUUGGCCGGCCACAUUGGGACUGAGAUACGGCCCAGACUCCUACGGGAGGCAGCAG